CAACUAUCAAGCCUCUAGGCUUGUGUUGGGCCCUGCGGCUGCCCGCAGCUCCCUAAAAGUAGUGGCGGGCUCGCUGUCACACCGAGUGCAGUAGUUUCUCCUCGCAAGGUUGUUACAGCGGGCUCUAGCCGUAAAACACCCUAAACUUUAA
This 151-nucleotide unclassified non-coding RNA is filed under the name uncultured Sordariales. RNAcentral's name for it is "sequence contains ITS2". The record is from RNAcentral. Lineage: Eukaryota; Fungi; Ascomycota; Sordariomycetes; Sordariales.